This 483-nucleotide ribosomal RNA is filed under the name Triticum aestivum (bread wheat). RNAcentral's name for it is "partial small subunit ribosomal RNA". Lineage: Eukaryota; Viridiplantae; Streptophyta; Magnoliopsida; Poales; Poaceae. The record is from RNAcentral.
AUGGUGAUACAAGCCUCUCAGCCGUCCUCCGCGGAUCCAACAGAUGCCAGGGGCGAACCUGCCUCUCAGCCUGAAAAGUCAAAGGUUGAGGAGGAGUUGAAGAAAGCAGCUGCACAUCGGUCUCGGCCUAGCUGCUAUUAUUACUAUUACUUCAAUGAAGGAGAUCCUCAGAAUUAUUCUGAUGAUUUGGAGAUGGAGAUGGAACAAGGACUAUUACCGCUUGUUAAUUUCCCGGAUAAACAGGUUCAGUUCGAGGAGUGGAAGAUAGAAGCACAACAGUUUGAGACUGAUUUUGGCGAGAUGGAAAUGAAGAUUCAUAGGUUCCCUGCAAGCAUGCGGAGCCUUGGACGGCGUUACAUCGUCCCAAUGGCCGUGAGCAUCGGUCUUUACCACCACGGCUCAAGUAGCCUGCAUGAGAUGGAGAAGGUGAAGCGCGUGGCUACACUCCACUUCAUCAGUUACUCGAUCAGGCCGCUCAUUUGA